Molecule: non-coding RNA, 22 nt
Filed under: Arabidopsis thaliana (thale cress)
Lineage: Eukaryota; Viridiplantae; Streptophyta; Magnoliopsida; Brassicales; Brassicaceae
Source: RNAcentral
CUGCUGUUUCAACAUAUUUUGC